This 304-nucleotide ribosomal RNA is filed under the name Escherichia coli. RNAcentral's name for it is "partial 23S ribosomal RNA". It matches the Rfam family "Bacterial large subunit ribosomal RNA", at positions 2639 to 2925 of the family's 2925-position model. The record is from RNAcentral. Lineage: Bacteria; Pseudomonadati; Pseudomonadota; Gammaproteobacteria; Enterobacterales; Enterobacteriaceae.
UAUCUGCCGUGGGCGCUGGAGAACUGAGGGGGGCUGCUCCUAGUACGAGAGGACCGGAGUGGACGCAUCACUGGUGUUCGGGUUGUCAUGCCAAUGGCACUGCCCGGUAGCUAAAUGCGGAAGAGAUAAGUGCUGAAAGCAUCUAAGCACGAAACUUGCCCCGAGAUGAGUUCUCCCUGACUCCUUGAGAGUCCUGAAGGAACGUUGAAGACGACGACGUUGAUAGGCCGGGUGUGUAAGCGCAGCGAUGCGUUGAGCUAACCGGUACUAAUGAACCGUGAGGCUUAACCUUACAACGCCGAAG